GAAAACUGGGUGCGAUGCGGGGGGAUUUAUCCGGCUAGGGCUUCCACGUCCGUUCGCGGUCUGGCGGAGAAGCUUCGGAGGAAGCGGGGAAGGUGCGGUUCUUAUAUGGUAUCAGCCUUCGGCCUUCAUCCUGCUGUGAUGCCUGUACGCGAAUUUCUCGUGAUAGGGAUGUGCGCACGCGAAGCAGAAGAGGGAGAGGACGGAGGGAAGACGAGAUUUUUAUGCGCUUCAAAGAAACGUAGGACGUCGCUACUGUUACUGCAUGUUGAUGUAUCAACCAAGACCUAAUUGUAAUCAGAACCUGGAAAUGAGCCCCAUUAGUAGAACAGGGGAACAUGACAGGUGAGUUAGAAGGCAGUUGAAACUGAGUUAGGGACCAUUCUUGGAGCUUAUGUUUGUGAUGCUUCAAAUCUUACAUUUGGACUGAG
Molecule: long non-coding RNA, 428 nt
Filed under: Musa acuminata (dwarf banana)
Lineage: Eukaryota; Viridiplantae; Streptophyta; Magnoliopsida; Zingiberales; Musaceae
Description: long non-coding RNA (MACU_LNC006751)
Source: RNAcentral